GAUGUUAGCGGCGGACGGGUGAGUAACACGUGGGUAACCUGCCUGUAAGACUGGGAUAACUCCGGGAAACCGGGGCUAAUACCGGAUGGUUGUCUGAACCGCAUGGUUCAGACAUAAAAGGUGGCUUCGGCUACCACUUACAGAUGGACCCGCGGCGCAUUAGCUAGUUGGUGAGGUAACGGCUCACCAAGGCGACGAUGCGUAGCCGACCUGAGAGGGUGAUCGGCCACACUGGGACUGAGACACGGCCCAGACUCCUACGGGAGGCAGCAGUAGGGAAUCUUCCGCAAUGGACGAAAGUCUGACGGAGCAACGCCGCGUGAGUGAUGAAGGUUUUCGGAUCGUAAAGCUCUGUUGUUAGGGAAGAACAAGUGCCGUUCAAAUAGGGCGGCACCUUGACGGUACCUAACCAGAAAGCCACGGCUAACUACGUGCCAGCAGCCGCGGUAAUACGUAGGUGGCAAGCGUUGUCCGGAAUUAUUGGGCGU
Molecule: ribosomal RNA, 488 nt
Filed under: Bacillus subtilis group sp.
Lineage: Bacteria; Bacillati; Bacillota; Bacilli; Caryophanales; Bacillaceae
Description: bacterial SSU rRNA
Rfam family: Bacterial small subunit ribosomal RNA
Source: RNAcentral